GACGAACGCUGGCGGCGUGCCUAAUACAUGCAAGUCGAACGAACUCUGGUAUUGAUUGGUGCUUGCAUCAUGAUUUACAUUUGAGUGAGUGGCGAACUGGUGAGUAACACGUGGGAAACCUGCCCAGAAGCGGGGGAUAACACCUGGAAACAGAUGCUAAUACCGCAUAACAACUUGGACCGCAUGGUCCGAGCUUGAAAGAUGGCUUCGGCUAUCACUUUUGGAUGGUCCCGCGGCGUAUUAGCUAGAUGGUGGGGUAACGGCUCACCAUGGCAAUGAUACGUAGCCGACCUGAGAGGGUAAUCGGCCACAUUGGGACUGAGACACGGCCCAAACUCCUACGGGAGGCAGCAGUAGGGAAUCUUCCACAAUGGACGAAAGUCUGAUGGAGCAACGCCGCGUGAGUGAAGAAGGGUUUCGGCUCGUAAAACUCUGUUGUUAAAGAAGAACAUAUCUGAGAGUAACUGUUCAGGUAUUGACGGUAUUUAACCAGAAAGCCACGGCUAACUACGUGCCAGCAGCCGCGGUAAUACGUAGGUGGCAAGCGUUGUCCGGAUUUAUUGGGCGUAAAGCGAGCGCAGGCGGUUUUUUAAGUCUGAUGUGAAAGCCUUCGGCUCAACCGAAGAAGUGCAUCGGAAACUGGGAAACUUGAGUGCAGAAGAGGACAGUGGAACUCCAUGUGUAGCGGGUGAAACUGCGUAGAUAUAUGGAAGAACACCAUGUGGCGAAGGCCGCCUUUUCUGGUUCUGUAACUGACGUUGAGCUUGAAAGUAUGGGUAGCAAACCAGGAUUAGAUACCCUGGUAGUCCAUACGGUAAACGAUGAAUGCUAAGUGUUGGAGGGUUUCCGCCCUUCAGUGCUGCAGCUAACGCAUUAAGCAUUCCGCCUGGGGAGUACGGCCGCAAGGCUGAAACUCAAAGGAAUUGACGGGGGCCCGCACAAGCGGUGGAGCAUGUGGUUUAAUUCGAAGCUACGCGAAGAACCUUACCAGGUCUUGACAUACUAUGCAAAUCUAAGAGAUUAGACGUUCCCUUCGGGGACAUGGAUACAGGUGGUGCAUGGUUGUCGUCAGCUCGUGUCGUGAGAUGUUGGGUUAAGUCCCGCAACGAGCGCAACCCUUAUUAUCAGUUGCCAGCAUUAAGUUGGGCACUCUGGUGAGACUGCCGGUGACAAACCGGAGGAAGGUGGGGAUGACGUCAAAUCAUCAUGCCCCUUAUGACCUGGGCUACACACGUGCUACAAUGGAUGGUACAACGAGUUGCGAACUCGCGAGAGUAAGCUAAUCUCUUAAAGCCAUUCUCAGUUCGGAUUGUAGGCUGCAACUCGCCUACAUGAAGUCGGAAUCGCUAGUAAUCGCGGAUCAGCAUGCCGCGGUGAAUACGUUCCCGGGCCUUGUACACACCGCCCGUCACACCAUGAGAGUUUGUAACACCCAAAGUCGGUGGGGUAACCUUUUAGGAACCAGCCGCCUAAGGUGGGACAGAUGAUUAGGGUGAAGUCGUAACAAGGUA
This 1511-nucleotide ribosomal RNA is filed under the name uncultured bacterium. RNAcentral describes it as "16S ribosomal RNA". It matches the Rfam family "Bacterial small subunit ribosomal RNA". The record is from RNAcentral.